This 254-nucleotide ribosomal RNA is filed under the name uncultured bacterium. RNAcentral describes it as "partial small subunit ribosomal RNA". It matches the Rfam family "Bacterial small subunit ribosomal RNA", at positions 26 to 285 of the family's 1533-position model. The record is from RNAcentral.
AGGACGAACGCUGGCGGCGUGCUUAACACAUGCAAGUCGAGCGGAAAGGCCCUUCGGGGUACUCGAGCGGCGAACGGGUGAGUAACACGUGAGUAAUCUGCCCCUAGCUCUGGGAUAGCUCCGGGAAACCGGGAUUAAUACCGGAUAUGACCACUUUAGACAUCUGUUGUGGUGGAAAGAAUUUCGGCUAGGGAUGAGCUCGCGGCCUAUCAGCUUGUUGGUGGGGUAAAGGCCCACCAAGGCGACGACGGGUA